UGUCCUAAGAUGAGCUCAACGAGAA
RNAcentral lists this non-coding RNA (25 nucleotides) under Arabidopsis thaliana (thale cress). RNAcentral also lists the same sequence under 2 other names. Lineage: Eukaryota; Viridiplantae; Streptophyta; Magnoliopsida; Brassicales; Brassicaceae. The record is from RNAcentral.